CAUCAUUUAAAGAAAGCGUAAUAGCUCACUGGUCGAGUCGGCCUGCGCGGAAGAUGUAACGGGGCUAAACCAUGCACCGAAGCUGCGGCAGCGACGCUUAUGCGUUGUUGGGUAGGGGAGCGUUCUGUAAGCCUGCGAAGGUGUACUGUGAGGUAUGCUGGAGGUAUCAGAAGUGCGAAUGCUGACAUAAGUAACGAUAAAGCGGGUGAAAAGCCCGCUCGCCGGAAGACCAAGGGUUCCUGUCCAACGUUAAUCGGGGCAGGGUGAGUCGACCCCUAAGGCGAGGCCGAAAGGCGUAGUCGAUGGGAAACAGGUUAAUAUUCCUGUACUUGGUGUUACUGCGAAGGGGGGACGGAGAAGGCUAUGUUGGCCGGGCGACGGUUGUCCCGGUUUAAGCGUGUAGGCUGGUUUUCCAGGCAAAUCCGGAAAAUCAAGGCUGAGGCGUGAUGACGAGGCACUACGGUGCUGAAGCAACAAAUGCCCUGCUUCCAGGAAAAGCCUCUAAGCAUCAGGUAACAUCAAAUCGUACCCCAAACCGACACAGGUGGUCAGGUAGAGAAUACCAAGGCGCUUGAGAGAACUCGGGUGAAGGAACUAGGCAAAAUGGUGCCGUAACUUCGGGAGAAGGCACGCUGAUAUGUAGGUGAAGUCCCUUGCGGAUGGAGCUGAAAUCAGUCGAAGAUACCAGCUGGCUGCAACUGUUUAUUAAAAACACAGCACUGUGCAAACACGAAAGUGGACGUAUACGGUGUGACGCCUGCCCGGUGCCGGAAGGUUAAUUGAUGGGGUUAGCGGUAACGCGAAGCUCUUGAUCGAAGCCCCGGUAAACGGCGGCCGUAACUAUAACGGUCCUAAGGUAGCGAAAUUCCUUGUCGGGUAAGUUCCGACCUGCACGAAUGGCGUAAUGAUGGCCAGGCUGUCUCCACCCGAGACUCAGUGAAAUUGAACUCGCUGUGAAGAUGCAGUGUACCCGCGGCAAGACGGAAAGACCCCGUGAACCUUUACUAUAGCUUGACACUGAACAUUGAGCCUUGAUGUGUAGGAUAGGUGGGAGGCUUUGAAGUGUGGACGCCAGUCUGCAUGGAGCCGACCUUGAAAUACCACCCUUUAAUGUUUGAUGUUCUAACGUUGGCCCCUAAUCGGGGUUGCGGACAGUGUCUGGUGGGUAGUUUGACUGGGGCGGUCUCCUCCUAAAGAGUAACGGAGGAGCACGAAGGUUGGCUAAUCCUGGUCGGACAUCAGGAGGUUAGUGCAAUGGCAUAAGCCAGCUUGACUGCGAGCGUGACGGCGCGAGCAGGUGCGAAAGCAGGUCAUAGUGAUCCGGUGGUUCUGAAUGGAAGGGCCAUCGCUCAACGGAUAAAAGGUACUCCGGGGAUAACAGGCUGAUACCGCCCAAGAGUUCAUAUCGACGGCGGUGUUUGGCACCUCGAUGUCGGCUCAUCACAUCCUGGGGCUGAAGUAGGUCCCAAGGGUAUGGCUGUUCGCCAUUUAAAGUGGUACGCGAGCUGGGUUUAGAACGUCGUGAGACAGUUCGGUCCCUAUCUGCCGUGGGCGCUGGAGAACUGAGGGGGGCUGCUCCUAGUACGAGAGGACCGGAGUGGACGCAUCACUGGUGUUCGGGUUGUCAUGCCAAUGGCACUGCCCGGUAGCUAAAUGCGGAAGAGAUAAGUGCUGAAAGCAUCUAAGCACGAAACUUGCCCCGAGAUGAGUUCUCCCUGACUCCCUGAGAGUCCUGAAGGAACGUUGAAGACGACGACGUUGAUAGGCCGGGUGUGUAAGCGCAGCGAUGCGUUGAGCUAACCGGUACUAAUGAACCGUGAGGCUUAACCUU
This 1831-nucleotide ribosomal RNA is filed under the name Escherichia coli HVH 45 (4-3129918). RNAcentral describes it as "bacterial LSU rRNA". It matches the Rfam family "Bacterial large subunit ribosomal RNA", at positions 1117 to 2925 of the family's 2925-position model. The record is from RNAcentral. Lineage: Bacteria; Pseudomonadati; Pseudomonadota; Gammaproteobacteria; Enterobacterales; Enterobacteriaceae.